CAGCCGCCACGGUAAUACGAAGGGGGCUAGCGUUGCCCGGAAUUACUGGGCGUAAAGGGAGCGUAGGCGGGUCGUUUAGUCAGAGGUGAAAUCCCGGGGCUCAACCUCGGAACUGCCUUUGAUACUGGCGACCUUGAGUAUGGGAGAGGUAAGCGGAACUCCGAGUGUAGAGGUGAAAUUCGUAGAUAUUCGGAAGAACACCAGUGGCGAAGGCGGCUUACUGGCCCAUUACUGACGCUGAGGCUCGAAAGCGUGGGGAGCAAACAGGAUUAGAUACCCCCGUAGUCCCUGUCUCUUAUAC
RNAcentral lists this ribosomal RNA (301 nucleotides) under uncultured bacterium. Its description in RNAcentral is "partial 16S ribosomal RNA". It matches the Rfam family "Bacterial small subunit ribosomal RNA", at positions 509 to 807 of the family's 1533-position model. The record is from RNAcentral.